GACGAACGCUGGCGGCGUGCUUAACACAUGCAAGUCGAACGAUGAUGCCCAGCUUGCUGGGUGGAUUAGUGGCGAACGGGUGAGUAACACGUGAGUAACCUGCCCCUGACUCUGGGAUAAGCGUUGGAAACGACGUCUAAUACUGGAUAUGACUGCCGGCCGCAUGGUCUGGUGGUGGAAAGAUUUUUUGGUUGGGGAUGGACUCGCGGCCUAUCAGCUUGUUGGUGAGGUAAUGGCUCACCAAGGCGACGACGGGUAGCCGGCCUGAGAGGGUGACCGGCCACACUGGGACUGAGACACGGCCCAGACUCCUACGGGAGGCAGCAGUGGGGAAUAUUGCACAAUGGGCGAAAGCCUGAUGCAGCAACGCCGCGUGAGGGAUGACGGCCUUCGGGUUGUAAACCUCUUUUAGUAGGGAAGAAGCGAAAGUGACGGUACCUGCAGAAAAAGCACCGGCUAACUACGUGCCAGCCGCCGCCGUAACAC
RNAcentral lists this ribosomal RNA (486 nucleotides) under uncultured bacterium. RNAcentral describes it as "bacterial SSU rRNA". It matches the Rfam family "Bacterial small subunit ribosomal RNA", at positions 28 to 526 of the family's 1533-position model. The record is from RNAcentral.